This 253-nucleotide ribosomal RNA is filed under the name uncultured bacterium. Its description in RNAcentral is "partial 16S ribosomal RNA". It matches the Rfam family "Bacterial small subunit ribosomal RNA", at positions 524 to 776 of the family's 1533-position model. The record is from RNAcentral.
UACGUAGGGUGCGAGCGUUAAUCGGAAUUACUGGGCGUAAAGAGUGCGUAGGCGGGAACAUAAGUUAGAUGUGAAAUACCUGGGCUUAACCUGGGAAAGUCAUUUAAGACUGUGUACCUAGAGUUUGUAAGAGGAUGGUAGAAUUCCAAGUGUAGCAGUGAAAUGCGUAGAGAUUUGGAGGAAUACCGGUGGCGAAGGCGGCCAUCUGGGAUAGAACUGACGCUGAGGCACGAAAGCGUGGGUAGCAAACAGG